AAAUGACUCUCGACAACGGAUAUCCCGGCUCUCGCAUCGAUGAAGAACGUAGCGAAAUGCGAUACUUGGUGUGAAUUGCAGAAUCCCGUGAACCAUCGAGUCUUUGAACGCAAGUUGCGCCCGAAGCCAUUAGGCCGAGGGCACGUCUGCCUGGGUGUCACGCAUCGUGUUGC
This 173-nucleotide ribosomal RNA is filed under the name Cuminum cyminum. RNAcentral's name for it is "5.8S ribosomal RNA". It matches the Rfam family "5.8S ribosomal RNA". From Rfam's summary of the family: 5.8S ribosomal RNA (5.8S rRNA) is a component of the large subunit of the eukaryotic ribosome. It is transcribed by RNA polymerase I as part of the 45S precursor that also contains 18S and 28S rRNA. The record is from RNAcentral. Lineage: Eukaryota; Viridiplantae; Streptophyta; Magnoliopsida; Apiales; Apiaceae.